CCUACGGGAGGCAGCAGUGAGGAAUAUUGGUCAAUGGGCGCGAGCCUGAACCAGCCAAGUCGCGUGAGGGAUGACGGUCCUACGGAUUGUAAACCUCUUUUGCCGGGGAGCAAGCGUGCGUUCGUGAACGCGCGUCGAUAGUACCCGGAUAAAAAGCAUCGGCUCAGUCCGUGCCAGCAGCCGCGGUAAUACGGAGGAUGCGGGCGUUAUCCGUAUGUAUUGGGUUAAAAGGGUGCGUAGGCGGGAUGCAAUGUCAGCGGUAAAAAUGCGGUGCUCAACGCCGUCGAGCCGUUGAUACUGGCGUUCUUGAGUGGGCGAGAAGUAUGCGGAAUGCGUGGUGGAGCGGUGAAAUGCAUAGAUAUCACGCAGAACUCCGAUUGCGAAGGCAGCAUACCGGCGCCCUACUGACGCUGAGGCACGAAAGCGUGGGUAUCGAACAGGAUUAGAUACCCGGGUAGUC
This 460-nucleotide ribosomal RNA is filed under the name uncultured bacterium. Its description in RNAcentral is "partial 16S ribosomal RNA". It matches the Rfam family "Bacterial small subunit ribosomal RNA", at positions 338 to 795 of the family's 1533-position model. The record is from RNAcentral.